ACGGAGUAAUGAGAUGAGCAGAUUGAGGGGAAACUCCUCGCAGGAUGUUUCUCAGCCGAGUGUGUGCUCUGAUUAAACUCACGCUGCCCAUUUAGAGGUGUUGGAUUCUUAUCAGCUUAUACUACUACAGAACUGCGAACUCGAUAACAAGUCACUGACUGCGAUACACAACUACUGACAUUCAUCAGAUCAUGUGUCACGGCUUGAGAACCUCAAGUGCUCGUGUGAAACCAAACGGGACACCCAAACUAGGGCUUCUCCGCUAUAUGAAGUAACAGCUCGGGGUACGCUACAUCACGUCGUCAUAAACAAGUCCCUAAAACAGGAUUCGCAGACGACAACUAAACGCGAAUAUUCGCCACAGGGGGUGUUUGUGGACGUGUAUAACUGUUCGAUCUGACAACGCGGAGGGAUGUUGGGACAUCGUGCCAGUCACAGGCAGCGUUUUUAAAAGGCUUACGUAAACACAAACGAGGCUAAACACAGCACCGUCUGGACAAGCGUUCAUAUUAAUAGCCCCAGUGUUAAUAUUACUGCUAAUGUAAACAGAAUUAAAUGGUUGCUAGUGUCCCGAUGGUUUGGGAAACCGCAAACCAGACAUCUGGGAACAGGGACAGUCUUAAAGGAGGUGUUUACACUGGAGUAUCGAAAGACAGAAAUAUAACAGGAAGUGGUGAUCUGCAGGGUCCAGGCAC
Long non-coding RNA from Ictalurus punctatus (channel catfish), 695 nucleotides. Lineage: Eukaryota; Metazoa; Chordata; Actinopteri; Siluriformes; Ictaluridae. The record is from Ensembl.